GGUUCCAUAGUGUAGCGGUUAGCACGUCUGCUUUACACGCGGAAGGUCCUAGGUAAGCAGCCUAGUGGAGCCA
RNAcentral lists this transfer RNA (73 nucleotides) under Pteropus alecto (black flying fox). It matches the Rfam family "tRNA". From Rfam's summary of the family: Transfer RNA (tRNA) molecules are approximately 80 nucleotides in length. Lineage: Eukaryota; Metazoa; Chordata; Mammalia; Chiroptera; Pteropodidae. RNAcentral also lists the same sequence under 1 other name. The record is from Rfam by way of RNAcentral.